This 400-nucleotide ribosomal RNA is filed under the name uncultured bacterium. Its description in RNAcentral is "bacterial SSU rRNA". It matches the Rfam family "Bacterial small subunit ribosomal RNA", at positions 355 to 772 of the family's 1533-position model. The record is from RNAcentral.
UAGGGAAUAUUGGACAAUGGGCGCAAGCCUGAUCCAGCCAUGCCGCGUGAGUGAUGAAGGCCUUAGGGUUGUAAAGCUCUUUCGCGCGCGACGAUGAUGACGGUAGCGCGAGAAGAAGCCCCGGCUAACUUCGUGCCAGCAGCCGCGGUAAUACGAAGGGGGCUAGCGUUGUUCGGAAUUACUGGGCGUAAAGGGCGCGUAGGCGGUCUAUUGCGUUGGGUGUGAAAGCCCCGGGCUCAACCUGGGAUGUGCGCCCGAUACGGGUAGGCUGGAGAACGGAAGAGGAGAGUGGAAUUCCCAGUGUAGAGGUGAAAUUCGUAGAUAUUGGGAAGAACACCGGUGGCGAAGGCGGCUCUCUGGUCCGUUUCUGACGCUGAGGCGCGAAAGCGUGGGGAGCAAA